AUGUUAAUUCUUGACAAGCUUGCUAGCUUUGAUCUCGACAAUUGUAUAGAAAUCUGCAGAGACCCUGGUCUAACCACAAAGGUUAUACAGUUCACUAGCAAUAGACCCAACAUGACAUACAGUAAUGAGACACACAAGACACUGCUGAAACGUUCAUCACUGAAGCUACUGUGCAGACUUGCAAAGACUAAAGGGAAAAUUGGUGUAACUUUGCGUCAGAAUAUUUCAGAACAUCCCUUCCUUUUGAGCAAUCUUGUGGAGAUCUUGGAUAAUAAUGAUAGCAGCCAUGAACUGAGGGAGCUCACAACAGAACUCAUUAAGAACAUUGCCAUGGAGGAAAAGAUAAAGGAGGAGAUCGGACACAUCCCAGUGAUCAUUAGCAGGUUGAUGGAUGCAUUUCUCAGCCAAAGUGCUCUCUCAAGAACAGAUUCAGCUCAGUUGCUACAAAUGACCUCCGGGCAAGCAUUGGCAGUUCUGGCAAUGGAGAGUGCGAACAACUGCUUAAUUAUGUUAGCGGAACCACACUCAUUCAUCAAGGAACUCACAGUUAUGAUCCAUGGUGACAGGUACAGGUACGUAGCUUCGAGCCUGUUGCAGAAUAUGUGUGUGCAUGUUCGACCUGAGCUUGGCAACUCGGACCUGAAGGAAAUCUCCUACAUUCUGAGAGAGGUGCUGGAAGGAAUAAUGGAUGCAGAAGGGACUGAACUGGAGGUCCUUGUUGGCCUUAGUUCACAAAUAUGUAAUGUCAUUCCUGGCAAUUUUGCACGAGAACUAGAGCAUGGUCAGAUCAAGGAAAGAUUUAUAAGGAGGCUAGUCGAUGCACUUAACUCAAAUAUGAGACCCACUGCUCAUUGUCCCGGGAUCAGAAGGUCGAUAGUUGAACAUACCAUAUGCAUGAUGGAGUGUAAUCCUGAGUAUGCCGGCUGUUUCAAGGAAUGUUGGAUGAUGGAAGCACUGCUAAUGGUGGAGCGUACACCUUCAAGGGCUGAAAAGUACAGGUUCUUCUCGGGUGAUGCAGGACUCAUGGAGCACAGCAUACCUCUAUCCACACUUGUGGCUAGAGCAAAAGAACUGAUGGACCAUGAGUAG
RNAcentral lists this ribosomal RNA (1089 nucleotides) under Triticum aestivum (bread wheat). RNAcentral describes it as "partial small subunit ribosomal RNA". Lineage: Eukaryota; Viridiplantae; Streptophyta; Magnoliopsida; Poales; Poaceae. The record is from RNAcentral.